GGACCUCAGCCUUUUGGCUAAGAUCAAGUGUAGUAUCUGUUCUUAUCAGUUUAAUAUCCGAUACGUCCCCCAUCGGGGGGCUACAUAUUAAAUGCUCCUGAGUGGCGCAGCGGUCUAAGGCACUGCAUCUCAGUGCUAGAGGUGUCACUGCAGACCCU
RNAcentral lists this small nuclear RNA (158 nucleotides) under Hucho hucho (huchen). RNAcentral's name for it is "U2 spliceosomal RNA (ENSHHUG00000033351.1)". The stretch from base 3 to 128 matches the Rfam family "U2 spliceosomal RNA". From Rfam's summary of the family: U2 is a small nuclear RNA (snRNA) component of the spliceosome (involved in pre-mRNA splicing). Complementary binding between U2 snRNA (in an area lying towards the 5' end but 3' to hairpin I) and the branchpoint sequence (BPS) of the intron results the bulging out of an unpaired adenosine, on the BPS, which initiates a nucleophilic attack at the intronic 5' splice site, thus starting the first of two transesterification reactions that mediate splicing. Lineage: Eukaryota; Metazoa; Chordata; Actinopteri; Salmoniformes; Salmonidae. The record is from RNAcentral.